RNAcentral lists this ribosomal RNA (771 nucleotides) under uncultured bacterium. Its description in RNAcentral is "bacterial SSU rRNA". It matches the Rfam family "Bacterial small subunit ribosomal RNA", at positions 8 to 796 of the family's 1533-position model. The record is from RNAcentral.
AGAGUUUGAUCCUGGCUCAGGACGAACGCUGGCGGCGUGCUUAACACAUGCAAGUCGAACGGAAAGGCCCUUCGGGGUACUCGAGUGGCGAACGGGUGAGUAACACGUGGGUGAUCUGCCCUGCACUUUGGGAUAAGCCUGGGAAACUGGGUCUAAUACCGAAUAUGACCAUGCACUUCCUGGCGUGUGGUGGAAAGCUUUUGCGGUGUGGGAUGGGCCCGCGGCCUAUCAGCUUGUUGGUGGGGUAAUGGCCUACCAAGGCGACGACGGGUAGCCGGCCUGAGAGGGUGACCGGCCACACUGGGACUGAGAUACGGCCCAGACUCCUACGGGAGGCAGCAGUGGGGAAUAUUGCACAAUGGGCGCAAGCCUGAUGCAGCGACGCCGCGUGAGGGAUGACGGCCUUCGGGUUGUAAACCUCUUUCAGCACAGACGAAGCGCAAGUGACGGUAUGUGCAGAAGAAGGACCGGCCAACUACGUGCCAGCAGCCGCGGUAAUACGUAGGGUCCGAGCGUUGUCCGGAAUUACUGGGCGUAAAGAGCUCGUAGGUGGUUUGUCGCGUUGUUCGUGAAAACUCACAGCUUAACUGUGGGCGUGCGGGCGAUACGGGCAGACUUGAGUACUGCAGGGGAGACUGGAAUUCCUGGUGUAGCGGUGGAAUGCGCAGAUAUCAGGAGGAACACCGGUGGCGAAGGCGGGUUUCUGGGCAGUAACUGACGCUGAGGAGCGAAAGCGUGGGGAGCGAACAGGAUUAGAUACCCUGGUAGUCC